Molecule: long non-coding RNA, 834 nt
Filed under: Mus musculus (house mouse)
Lineage: Eukaryota; Metazoa; Chordata; Mammalia; Rodentia; Muridae
Description: long non-coding RNA chr12:107899067-107899901
Source: RNAcentral
CACACGUGAGGCAAGGCAGUGUUGUGGGCACUGUGGUCUGCACCUAUUACCCCUCCCACCCUUUGCACCUGAGCAGCUGCCGUGCCAUGCGCAGUUGGUUUGUGGGCUUCUUCCAGUCAUGUGACUGUUUUGGGACUAGCCAAUGAGGUAUGAGAAGAGGAGAGCGGGAAGCCAGGUCUCCCUGACUUCGGAGAGAUUUGAGGGAAUCCAGCGAUUGGUGCCCUGACACGUUCGAUAUGGAUGAAGAAUACAGAAGGAAGAGUGGGCUGAGGGGAGUUGCAGGGUGGGACUGAGCACUCCCAGUCCAGCAAGAAGAUUCAGGCCCAAGAUGAACUUCCACAGAGUUCCUGAAAUCAAGGUGGACACACACCACUGCCUCCUGGUCAACCGGACAGGAACAGAAGUGUUAGGAGUUGUGCCUCCCAAGCCUGGGCCAUUAGGACCCCUGGAAAAUAACCUAUUGUUCUCCCAGUAUGAAUGGCCCAAGGCAGAGGACUCCCGAUCAGUACUACCCAAGAGCUUUCUGUGUUGAUAGAAGUAUGUCAUAUCUGUGCGCCUGUCCCAGUCAGCAGCCAUCCUGUGGAGCACUUGACACACAGCAAAAGCAGCGGAAGGUUUAACUGAGGUGACUUUUAACUAAAUUAAAUAUAAUACAAACAAUAGUUUCCAUAUUGGACAAGGUAGAAAGAGCCACGUACCUACCUCAUGAAGGACUGUCUCCUAACCUGCUGGAUUAGCAAGAAAGAAACUUACACUGAACCAAGCUGGGGGACAUGAGGGUUGUUUGUUUCAGCAGCCAGCUGAUAUGUCCUGACCAAUACACUCAGACUUACU